This is a non-coding RNA of Punica granatum (pomegranate), 106 nucleotides long. NCBI's taxonomy places the organism in Eukaryota, Viridiplantae, Streptophyta, Magnoliopsida, Myrtales, Lythraceae. The record is from Rfam.
AUCCUCUCUCCAGAGAUAUCCGAUAAAAUUGGAAUGAUACAAAGAAUAUUAGCAUGGCCCCUGCGCAAGGAUGACAUGCACAAAUCGAGAAAGAAAAUGUACCGAA